ACUUUUUGUCUAAAAAAUGAUGUCUCACUUUUUCCAUUUUUCCAUAGGUUAACAUGGAAAAAGUGAGACAUCAUUUUUUAGACAAAAA
RNAcentral lists this microRNA precursor (88 nucleotides) under Stegodyphus mimosarum. Its description in RNAcentral is "microRNA mir-186". Lineage: Eukaryota; Metazoa; Arthropoda; Arachnida; Araneae; Eresidae. The record is from RNAcentral.